CAAGAAGUUAUUUUUACAUGACCUUUCUCUUUCCUCUUUCCCCAAACUUUAAAAUUAUGUUUUUAAAAAAGUGAAAAACAAAAACAAAACAAGAAAAAAACCCGUGACAUCCAUCAGAUGCAGGUAUAAAAUGAGGAAGGGAUCUUUCAACUCUAAAACAACUAAGCCUGUCUAUGAAUAAACCUGCCAAGCCCCUAACACACAAAGGUUUAUAAAUAGAUUUCAGUAUGUACUGCCCUUAUUUGUUAUUUGUACAUAGAAUGUUUAUCAUAGAAAAUACUUGACAUAAAAAUGUUAAAUUUUGGUCACUGUUAUAGUAGAAGUCUUAUAAAAUAUUAUGAUACAUAUAUGCAGAGGUCACCUCUCACUGGAUCCUUAAUCUCAGCAUGUAACGUAAUCUUUCUGCACCAUCUGUUGUCUUAAUUAGAGCCCAGGAAAAGAAAAGACUUAUUCAUGUAAGCAGGAUUAUAUUUAUGACCUAGGAAAUAUUUGUGGGGUUUUUUUGUUCUAGUUUAUCAUUUUAAACAUAUUAUCACCUAAUACAAACUGCUGUGAUUGGAUAUUUACUUUGGUGCACAUGUUAAAGUGAGAUAGAGACAGACAGACAC
Microcebus murinus (gray mouse lemur) is the source of this 608-nucleotide non-coding RNA. The record is from RefSeq and is a predicted model, not a curated record. NCBI's taxonomy places the organism in Eukaryota, Metazoa, Chordata, Mammalia, Primates, Cheirogaleidae.